GGCCUCGUGGUUCAUAUGUUAGAGCGUGCGCUGUACCAAAGCGUAGGCGGCGUACAUGCGUGGGUUCGAAUCCCAUCGAGGCUA
RNAcentral lists this transfer RNA (84 nucleotides) under Echinostoma caproni. It matches the Rfam family "tRNA". Rfam says of the family: Transfer RNA (tRNA) molecules are approximately 80 nucleotides in length. Their secondary structure includes four short double-helical elements and three loops (D, anti-codon, and T loops). Lineage: Eukaryota; Metazoa; Platyhelminthes; Trematoda; Plagiorchiida; Echinostomatidae. The record is from Rfam by way of RNAcentral.